This 406-nucleotide ribosomal RNA is filed under the name uncultured bacterium. RNAcentral's name for it is "partial 16S ribosomal RNA". It matches the Rfam family "Bacterial small subunit ribosomal RNA", at positions 30 to 526 of the family's 1533-position model. The record is from RNAcentral.
AUUGAACGCUGGCGGCAGGCUUAACACAUGCAAGUCGAGCGAGCGGCGGACGGGUGAGUAAUGUCUGGGAAACUGCCUGAUGGAGGGGGAUAACUACUGGAAACGGUAGCUAAUACCGCAUACCAUCAGAUGUGCCCAGAUGGGAGUAGCUGGUAGGUGGGGUAAUGGCUCACCUAGGCGACGAUCCCUAGCUGGUCUGAGAGGAGAACCGGCCAACCUGGAACUGAGCCACGGUCCAGACUCCUACGGGAGGCGGCAGUGGGGAAUAUUUCACAAUGGGCGCAAGCCUGAUGCAGCCAGGCCGCGUGUGUGAAGAAGGCCUUCGGGUUGUAAGGCACUUUCAGCGAGGAGGCGUUACUCGCAGAAGAAGCACCGGCUAACUCCGUGCCAGCAGCCGCGGUAAUUC